GAUGAACGCUGGCGGCGUGCCUAAUACAUGCAAGUCGAGCGAACAGACGAGGAGCUUGCUCCUCUGACGUUAGCGGCGGACGGGUGAGUAACACGUGGAUAACCUACCUAUAAGACUGGGAUAACUUCGGGAAACCGGAGCUAAUACCGGAUAAUAUAUUGAACCGCAUGGUUCAAUAGUGAAAGACGGUUUUGCUGUCACUUAUAGAUGGAUCCGCGCCGCAUUAGCUAGUUGGUAAGGUAACGGCUUACCAAGGCAACGAUGCGUAGCCGACCUGAGAGGGUGAUCGGCCACACUGGAACUGAGACACGGUCCAGACUCCUACGGGAGGCAGCAGUAGGGAAUAUUCCGCAAUGGGCGAAAGCUUGACGGAGCAACGCCGCGUGAGUGAUGAAGGUCUUCGGAUCGUAAAACUCUGUUAUUAGGGAAGAAAAAAUGUGUAAGUAACUAUGCACGUCUUGACGGUACCUAAUCAGAAAGCCACGGCUAACUACGUG
RNAcentral lists this ribosomal RNA (497 nucleotides) under uncultured bacterium. RNAcentral's name for it is "partial 16S ribosomal RNA". It matches the Rfam family "Bacterial small subunit ribosomal RNA", at positions 28 to 507 of the family's 1533-position model. The record is from RNAcentral.